UACGAAGGGGGCUAGCGUUGCUCGGAAUCACUGGGCGUAAAGGGUGCGUAGGCGGAUCUUUAAGUCAGGGGUGAAAUCCUGGAGCUCAACUCCAGAACUGCCUUUGAUACUGAAGAUCUUGAGUUCGGGAGAGGUGAGUGGAACUGCGAGUGUAGAGGUGAAAUUCGUAGAUAUUCGCAAGAACACCAGUGGCGAAGGCGGCGAUCUGGGUCGAUACUGACGCUGAGGUGCGAAAGCGUGGGGAGCAAACAGG
RNAcentral lists this ribosomal RNA (253 nucleotides) under uncultured bacterium. RNAcentral describes it as "partial 16S ribosomal RNA". It matches the Rfam family "Bacterial small subunit ribosomal RNA", at positions 524 to 776 of the family's 1533-position model. The record is from RNAcentral.